Molecule: transfer RNA, 69 nt
Filed under: Anguilla anguilla (European eel)
Lineage: Eukaryota; Metazoa; Chordata; Actinopteri; Anguilliformes; Anguillidae
Description: tRNA-OTHER
Source: RNAcentral
GGCAGUGUUGUAUAAUGGGUAAAUAGUUGGUCUUGUAAUCUAAAGGUCACAGGUUCGAUUCCGCUGCCG